ACAUCAUCAGAGAGGACUUCCUGGAAGAAAUUGGCUCUACAUUCAGUUCUGAGGACAGAUGUAAGAAUGCCGGUGACUGAGUUAGAAGCAUGCAUCCAAGCUGUCCGUGUCCUCGGCAUCCAGAAGCGGAGCCUGGAAGCUUCCGAAUUUCUUCAGAAUGCGGUCUACAUUCGCUUUCGGCAGAUAAGGAGACUGAGAAUUAUUUCUUCUGUCUUUUGUGGGGAGCUCAUUAUCA
Molecule: non-coding RNA, 235 nt
Organism: Vicugna pacos (alpaca)
Lineage: Eukaryota; Metazoa; Chordata; Mammalia; Artiodactyla; Camelidae
Source: RefSeq, a predicted model, not a curated record